GACGAACGCUGGCGGCGUGCUUAACACAUGCAAGUCGAACGGAAAGGCCCUGCUUUUGUGGGGUGCUCGAGUGGCGAACGGGUGAGUAACACGUGAGUAACCUGCCCUUGACUUUGGGAUAACUUCAGGAAACUGGGGCUAAUACCGGAUAGGAGCUCCUGCUGCAUGGGUGGGGUUGGAAAGUUUCGGCGGUUGGGGAUGGACUCGCGGCUUAUCAGCUUGUUGGUGGGGUAGUGGCUUACCAAGGCUUGACGGGUAGCCGGCCUGAGAGGGUGACCGGCCACAUUGGGACUGAGAUACGGCCCAGACUCCUACGGGAGGCAGCAGUGGGGAAUAUUGCACAAUGGGCGGAAGCCUGAUGCAGCAACGCCGCGUGCGGGAUGACGGCCU
RNAcentral lists this ribosomal RNA (390 nucleotides) under uncultured bacterium. RNAcentral describes it as "bacterial SSU rRNA". It matches the Rfam family "Bacterial small subunit ribosomal RNA", at positions 28 to 417 of the family's 1533-position model. The record is from RNAcentral.